AAGCGGCGGUGAUAUCUACUACACGGCAUCGUAGCCGGAGAGAGCUGAUGGAUGACUGGCGUGCACAGUGUCAAAACCUAGAGCCAGAAGUUCUUGAGUGUGUUGGAGACGGCACAGGACUCCGUGUGGUGUGGCCUUUGUGGAGUGUGGAGGGGAGAAAUGUGAUGGCGCGUUCCCUGUGGCGUGCUGGCAGGAGGGAUGGGUGACAUGUUCCUGGGACAGAGACUUCGGUGGAGUGAGGACUCCACUCCCCUGUGCUGCCUGCCUCCCCAGAAGACAUUGGGCAGGAGGCACACGUCUUAUCUCCAGAAUCUAAGAUUUCAAAACCCAUGGCUCAGUCUAGAUAUCCGGGCUAAUGCUGUUCAUGAAUUAGUUGCUGGUCUUCACGUUUUAAAUAAAAAUGCAAAAGCUCUCCAA
This is a long non-coding RNA of Myotis davidii, 417 nucleotides long. RefSeq lists it as uncharacterized. NCBI's taxonomy places the organism in Eukaryota, Metazoa, Chordata, Mammalia, Chiroptera, Vespertilionidae. The transcript is spliced from 2 exons. The record is from RefSeq and is a predicted model, not a curated record.